Molecule: non-coding RNA, 91 nt
Organism: Brassica rapa (field mustard)
Lineage: Eukaryota; Viridiplantae; Streptophyta; Magnoliopsida; Brassicales; Brassicaceae
Source: Rfam
AUAUCUGUGAUGAGAAAGCUAACAUAUAAGGAAAGCUUCUUUGUGAAGUUCUUCAAUGAAAUAUACUUGUUACGCUUGGCUUCUGAGCUUA